RNAcentral lists this ribosomal RNA (494 nucleotides) under Vibrio parahaemolyticus. Its description in RNAcentral is "bacterial SSU rRNA". It matches the Rfam family "Bacterial small subunit ribosomal RNA", at positions 911 to 1404 of the family's 1533-position model. Lineage: Bacteria; Pseudomonadati; Pseudomonadota; Gammaproteobacteria; Vibrionales; Vibrionaceae. The record is from RNAcentral.
UGACGGGGGCCCGCACAAGCGGUGGAGCAUGUGGUUUAAUUCGAUGCAACGCGAAGAACCUUACCUACUCUUGACAUCCAGAGAACUUUCCAGAGAUGGAUUGGUGCCUUCGGGAACUCUGAGACAGGUGCUGCAUGGCUGUCGUCAGCUCGUGUUGUGAAAUGUUGGGUUAAGUCCCGCAACGAGCGCAACCCUUAUCCUUGUUUGCCAGCGAGUAAUGUCGGGAACUCCAGGGAGACUGCCGGUGAUAAACCGGAGGAAGGUGGGGACGACGUCAAGUCAUCAUGGCCCUUACGAGUAGGGCUACACACGUGCUACAAUGGCGCAUACAGAGGGCAGCCAACUUGCGAAAGUGAGCGAAUCCCAAAAAGUGCGUCGUAGUCCGGAUUGGAGUCUGCAACUCGACUCCAUGAAGUCGGAAUCGCUAGUAAUCGUGGAUCAGAAUGCCACGGUGAAUACGUUCCCGGGCCUUGUACACACCGCCCGUCACACCA